GGCAAACGGCUGAUGCACGCGUGCAGCACUUUCACGCGUGCAUCAACAGUGCGAAGGUAAUUAAAUUACCUUCGCACUGUUCAAAUGCAAUUUGAACACAACACUAUAAAAGGGGAAGUGGGCGUACCUGCUUCUGGAGAUGAUGAAGAAAUCUGCAACGCCGAUGUAGCUACUGUCGUUCGAUUGCUUUCUUCUCUUUCCCUGUUGUGGCCACCGUCUUCCUUUCUUUUGAUUUCUCGGUUCUUGGGAUGAAGAAGCUGAGAAGGGACUACGACAAUAGCAAAGCUAAUUCUCGCUUUUAUGAACGAAGACAAUGGUUGUUCCUCUGCUUUUCUCUCCUCCUCCUUGUGUUCUGGGUUUUCAUCUCCCUUUUAUAGACUCCCCAGCUGAUUGCCUCUAACCAGUCCUGCCUUUGCAGGACUGUUAUCUUCCACGAACGAGAUCGUGGGCGAGAGACGUGGUCCUCUAUUGGAUCGAAUCCGUUGCAGAUUUUCAGCCUGUUGAAUCGGGAUGGAGAAGACGAACACGGCUGUUCCACCAGCAACGGCGACGUUUCAAGCAGCAAUGGACAUCUUCAUUUUGACCCCUGAACUUUGGAAAUUCGGCAAUUGGACCUCUAAGCAAUUAAAAAUUCCUUUUAAUUUUGCCCCUUUGGAUUAAUUUCAAUUAAAUCCCUAAAUUAUAACAAUGUUUACAAAACAGUCCUUAA
This is a long non-coding RNA of Populus trichocarpa (black cottonwood), 709 nucleotides long. RefSeq lists it as uncharacterized. The record is from RefSeq and is a predicted model, not a curated record. Lineage: Eukaryota; Viridiplantae; Streptophyta; Magnoliopsida; Malpighiales; Salicaceae. The transcript has 3 exons.